RNAcentral lists this ribosomal RNA (556 nucleotides) under Leptospira borgpetersenii serovar Hardjo-bovis. RNAcentral's name for it is "bacterial SSU rRNA". It matches the Rfam family "Bacterial small subunit ribosomal RNA", at positions 17 to 562 of the family's 1533-position model. The record is from RNAcentral. Lineage: Bacteria; Pseudomonadati; Spirochaetota; Leptospiria; Leptospirales; Leptospiraceae.
UCAUGGCUCAGAUUGAACGCUGGCGGCAGGCCUAACACAUGCAAGUCGAACGGUAACGGGAAGCAGCUUGCUGCUUCGCUGACGAGUGGCGGACGGGUGAGUAAUGUCUGGGAAACUGCCUGAUGGAGGGGGAUAACUACUGGAAACGGUGGCUAAUACCGCAUAACGUCGCAAGACCAAAGAGGGGGACCUUCGGGCCUCUUGCCAUCAGAUGUGCCCAGAUGGGAUUAGCUUGUGGGGGAGGUAACGGCUCACCAAGGCGACGAUCCCUAGCUGGUCUGAGAGGAUGACCAGCCACACUGGAACUGAGACACGGUCCAGACUCCUACGGGAGGCAGCAGUGGGGAAUAUUGCACAAUGGGCGCAAGCCUGAUGCAGCCAUGCCGCGUGUAUGAAGAAGGCCUUCGGGUUGUAAAGUACUUUCAGCGGGGAGGAAGGUGUUGUGGUUAAUAACCGCAGCAAUUGACGUUACCCGCAGAAGAAGCACCGGCUAACUCCGUGCCAGCAGCCGCGGUAAUACGGAGGGUGCAAGCGUUAAUCGGAAUUACUGGGCGUA